GACGAACGCUGGCGGCGUGCCUAAUACAUGCAAGUAGAACGCACAGUUUAUACCGUAGCUUGCUACACCAUAGACUGUGAGUUGCGAACGGGUGAGUAACGCGUAGGUAACCUGCCUGGUAGCGGGGGAUAACUAUUGGAAACGAUAGCUAAUACCGCAUAAUAUUAAUUAUUGCAUGAUAAUUAAUUGAAAGGUGCAAUUGCACCACUACCAGAUGGACCUGCGUUGUAUUAGCUAGUAGGUGAGGUAUCGGCUCACCUAGGCGACGAUACAUAGCCGACCUGAGAGGGUGAUCGGCCGGACUGGGACUGAGACACGGCACAGACUGCUAGGGGAAGCAGCAGUAGGGAAUCGUCAGCAAUGGGCGAAAGUCUGACCGAGCAACGCCGCGUGAGUGAAGAAGGUUUUCGGAUCGUAGAGCACGGUUGUAUGGGAAGAACGGGUGUGAGAGUGGAAAGUACACACUGUGACGGUAUCUUACCAGAAAGGGACGGCUAACUACGUG
Molecule: ribosomal RNA, 505 nt
Filed under: uncultured bacterium
Lineage: Bacteria
Description: partial 16S ribosomal RNA
Rfam family: Bacterial small subunit ribosomal RNA
Source: RNAcentral